Molecule: ribosomal RNA, 1824 nt
Filed under: human metagenome
Description: bacterial LSU rRNA
Rfam family: Bacterial large subunit ribosomal RNA
Source: RNAcentral
GAGGUUGGCUUAGAAGCAGCCAUCCUUGAAAGAGUGCGUAAUAGCUCACUGGUCGAGUGGUUCUGCGCCGAUAAUGUAGCGGGGCUUAAGUACACCGCCGAAACCGCGGCAACACAUGUAAAGGUGUGUUGGGUAGGGGAGCGUCGUGCAUGUGUUGAAGCUACUUGGUGACAGGUGGUGGAGUGUGUGCGAGUGAGAAUGCAGGCAUGAGUAACGAUUGAUGUGUGAGAAACAUAUCCGCCGGAUGACUAAGGGUUCCUGGGUGAAGUUUGUCUUCCCAGGGUGAGUCGGGGCCUAAGGCGAGGCCGACAGGCGUAGUCGAUGGAUGACGGGUUGAUAUUCCCGUACCCGUGUGCGUGCGACAAGUGAUGAAUCUUAUGGUACUAACCGCCCGCUUGUUUCUGCUGAUCUUUUUGGUUGGUGGUUGCAGGUGCGUGGGAUCUUCGUGGGUAGUAGUCAAGUGAUGGGGUGACGCAGAGUGGUAGCUAGGCUUCCUUAUUGGAUUGGAGUGCAAGCGUGUGGCCUGUGGGGUUGGGAAAUCCGCCCCACAUGAGGGUGAGGCGUGAUGCGGACACCAUUUGUGGUGGUAGUUAGUGUGCCUGUGCUGUCUAGAAAAGCCUCUAGCGAGUGCGUGCAUGGCCCGUACCGGAAACCGACACAGGUGGUCAGGUAGAGAAUACUAAGGCGUUCGGGUGAACUGUGGUUAAGGAACUCGGCAAAAUGCCCCCGUAACUUCGGGAGAAGGGGGACCAUUACUGGUUGCUGACAGCAUUUUAGCUGGUGGUGGUCGCAGAGGAGAGAGGGAAGCGACUGUUUAUUAAAAACACAGGUCCGUGCGAAAACGUGGAAGUUGAGGUAUACGGACUGACGCCUGCCCGGUGCUGGAAGGUUAAGAGGACCCGUGAGCAUGCCUUUAUGUGUGCGAGGCGGAGAAUUGAAGCCCCAGUAAACGGCGGUGGUAACUAUAACCAUCCUAAGGUAGCGAAAUUCCUUGUCGGGUAAGUUCCGACCUGCACGAAUGGCGUAACGACUUCCCUGCUGUCUCAACCACAGGCCCGGUGAAAUUGCAGUACGAGUAAAGAUGCUCGUUUCGCGCGGCAGGACGAAAAGACCCCGGGACCUUUACUAUAGCUUGGUAUUGGUGUUUGGUCAUGCUUGUGUAGGAUAGGUGGGAGACUGUGAAACCAUAACGCUAGUUGUGGUGGAGUCGCAGGUGAAAUACCACUCUGGUGUGAUUGGGUACCUGAACCUUGGCCCGUGAUCCGGGUUGGGGACAGUGCCUGGUGGGUAGUUUAACUGGGGCGGUUGCCUCCUAAAUGGUAACGGAGGCGCCCAAAGGUUUCCUCAGUCUGGUUGGCAAUCAGAUGGUGAGUGUAAGUGUAUAAGGGAGCUUGACUGUGACACUGACGGGUGGAGCAGGUGCGAAAGCAGGGACUAGUGAUCCGGCAUCUACGUGUGGUUGUGGUGUCGCUCAACGGAUAAAAGGUACCCCGGGGAUAACAGGCUGAUCUUCCCCAAGAGUUCAUAUCGACGGGAUGGUUUGGCACCUCGAUGUCGGCUCGUCGCAUCCUGGGGCUGGAGUAGGUCCCAAGGGUUGGGCUGUUCGCCCAUUAAAGCGGCACGCGAGCUGGGUUUAGAACGUCGUGAGACAGUUCGGUCUCUAUCCGCCGCGCGCGUUGAAACUUGAAGAAGGCUGUCCCUAGUACGAGAGGACCGGGAUGGACGUACCUCUGGUAUGCCAGUUGUCACGCCAGUGGCAUGGCUGGUUAGCUACGUGCGGGAGGGAUAACCGCUGAAAGCAUCUAAGCGGGAAGCCUGUUUUGA